This 271-nucleotide ribosomal RNA is filed under the name uncultured soil bacterium. RNAcentral's name for it is "partial 16S ribosomal RNA". It matches the Rfam family "Bacterial small subunit ribosomal RNA", at positions 26 to 297 of the family's 1533-position model. The record is from RNAcentral.
AGAUUGAACGCUAGCGGGAUGCUUUACACAUGCAAGUCGAACGGCAGCGCGGACUUCGGUCUGGCGGCGAGUGGCGAACGGGUGAGUAAUAUAUCGGAACGUGCCCAGUAGCGGGGGAUAACUACGCGAAAGCGUGGCUAAUACCGCAUACGCCCUACGGGGGAAAGGGGGGGAUUCUUCGGAACCUCUCACUAUUGGAGCGGCCGAUAUCAGAUUAGCUAGUUGGUGAGGUAAACGGCUCACCAAGGCGACGAUCUGUAGCUGGUUGAGA